This 492-nucleotide ribosomal RNA is filed under the name uncultured bacterium. RNAcentral describes it as "partial 16S ribosomal RNA". It matches the Rfam family "Bacterial small subunit ribosomal RNA", at positions 29 to 507 of the family's 1533-position model. The record is from RNAcentral.
AGUGAACGCUGGCGGUAGGCCUAACACAUGCAAGUCGAACGGCAGCACACUAAGAGCUUGCUCUUACGGGUGGCGAGUGGCGGACGGGUGAGGAAUACAUCGGAAUCUACUUUUUCGUGGGGGAUAACGUAGGGAAACUUACGCUCAUACCGCAUACGACCUACGGGUGAAAGCAGGGGAUCUUCUGACCUUGCGCGAUUGAAUGAGCCGAUGUCGGAUUAGCUAGUUGGCGGGGUAAAGGCCCACCAAGGCGACGAUCCGUAGCUGGUCUGAGUGGAUGGUCAGCCACACUGGAACUGAGACAGGGUCCAGACUCCUACGGGAGGCAGCAGUGGGGAAUAUUAGACAAUGGGCGCAAGCAUGAUCCAGCCAUACCGCGUGGGUGAAGAAGGCCUUGGGGUUGUGAAGCCGUUUUGUUGGGAAAGAAAAGCAGCAGGUUAAUACCCCGCGGUUCUGACGGUACCCAAAGAAUAAGCACCGGCUAACUUCGUG